This is a non-coding RNA of Cicer arietinum (chickpea), 1046 nucleotides long. The record is from RefSeq and is a predicted model, not a curated record. Lineage: Eukaryota; Viridiplantae; Streptophyta; Magnoliopsida; Fabales; Fabaceae.
AGUGAAUGACACGUGGAAGAACAAUGUAUUCAAGAAGAUGGAAUUUGGGGAUAUUGCUAGUUAUGUAGAACUAUGUACACGUUACACGUUCUCUCUGAUCAAAUUCUGUUUCUUUUCUGUGUCUUCACCGACUGGUGCGGUGAGCAGGGUAAUAUGGAGAGGGUCACCGUCACAAACUGAACUCUGUUUAUAAAAUUACGACAACGAUACCACAUUUUCUCAAUACUUAUUUAUUAUUUCAUUUUUUUAAUAUAUUUUUUACUUAAUCGUAGAAAAUCAUUAGUCUUUUUGUGGGUUGUGCGAGCAAUAUGGUAUAGGCCGUUCUGAAAACUCUACUUAAGGGUUUAUUCUAUGCUCCAAUCUGCAAGUGAAACUUAGUUAGUGCAUGACAUUGGCACGGAAGGUUUAUGUUGGGGAAAGUAAGUGAGGGAAUGUUAUUUAGAGUGCAUAUAGCACCGUAGAGGUAAAUUUGACUAUUUUUUCAUACAUAACACAUUAAUUUUGUAUCACUUUAGAGUUGUGCCUUAUUUUGAUGUUCUAGAUUUUUUAUCUGAAAUGGACUUAUGUAGAAUCUCACACAAAAUAUCCACAUUUAGUACUGUGACUGAAAAGUCAUUUUCAUGUGAUAUCAUGACCUAACGCGGAGAAGAAUAAUAGAUUAAAGGUGCAUGACGAAUGUGCAUUUGAGAUGACUUACAUAGCAAAAUCCCUUGAAAAUGUGAAUCUAUUUGUGUUGUUCUCGUUGUCAUAGCCUAAUAUAAUUGAAUUACUUAAUUAGAAUAAUAGACCUAUUGGGAUAUGAAUGUGCUUAAUGUGAAGUAUGUGGCAAAUGAUAGUGAGCCUAAUGAGACGAAUUUCUAAGAUAAAGAGGUUGUCCCUACUAUGGAGGUGGUAAGGAUGAAUAUCAAAGAAAAUAAGUAAAGUCAUACAUGACAUGUAAUAUUCACCCUGAUUUAGUACUUUAUUAUUUAAUUACACACUAGUUUGAUAAAUUUGUCAAACAAUGACAUUAAAAUUACAGGAAUAAAGAUUUAUUUUCUUUCUCA